GUAGAGGGUAACAACCCCGUAGUCGAAACUUCGUUCUCUCUUGAAUGUAUCCUGAGUACGGCGGAACACGUGAAAUUCCGUCGGAAUCUGGGAGGACCAUCUCCCAAGGCUAAAUACUCCCUAGUGAUCGAUAGUGAACCAGUACCGUGAGGGAAAGGUGAAAAGCACCCCGGAAGGGGAGUGAAAGAGAUCCUGAAACCGUGUGCCUACAAAUAGUCAGAGCCCGUUAAUGGGUGAUGGCGUGCCUUUUGUAGAAUGAACCGGCGAGUUACGAUCCCGUGCGAGGUUAAGCUGAAGAGGCGGAGCCGCAGCGAAAGCGAGUCUGAAUAGGGCGUUUAGUACGUGGUCGUAGACCCGAAACCAGGUGAUCUACCCAUGUCCAGGGUGAAGUUCAGGUAACACUGAAUGGAGGCCCGAACCCACGCACGUUGAAAAGUGCGGGGAUGAGGUGUGGGUAGCGGAGAAAUUCCAAUCGAACCUGGAGAUAGCUGGUUCUCCCCGAAAUAGCUUUAGGGCUAGCCUUAAGUGUAAGAGUCUUGGAGGUAGAGCACUGAUUGAACUAGGGGUCCUCAUCGGAUUACCGAAUUCAGUCAAACUCCGAAUGCCAAUGACUUANNNNNNNNNNGCGAGUGAUAAGAUCCGUAGUCAAGAGGGAAACAGCCCAGAUCGCCAGCUAAGGUCCCAAAGUGUGUAUUAAGUGGAAAAGGAUGUGGAGUUGCUUAGACAACUAGGAUGUUGGCUUAGAAGCAGCCACCAUUUAAAGAGUGCGUAAUAGCUCACUAGUCGAGUGACUCUGCGCCGAAAAUGUACCGGGGCUAAAUACACCACCGAAGCUGCGAAUUGAUACCAAUGGUAUCAGUGGUAGGGGAGCGUUCUAAGUGCAGUGAAGUCAGACCGGAAGGACUGGUGGAGCGCUUAGAAGUGAGAAUGCCGGUAUGAGUAGCGAAAGACGGGUGAGAAUCCCGUCCACCGAAUGCCUAAGGUUUCCUGAGGAAGGCUCGUCCGCUCAGGGUUAGUCAGGACCUAAGCCGAGGCCGACAGGCGUAGGCGAUGGACAACAGGUUGAUAUUCCUGUACCACCUCUUUAUCGUUUGAGCAAUGGAGGGACGCAGAAGGAUAGAAGAAGCGUGCGAUUGGUU
Molecule: ribosomal RNA, 1139 nt
Filed under: Staphylococcus aureus
Lineage: Bacteria; Bacillati; Bacillota; Bacilli; Caryophanales; Staphylococcaceae
Description: partial 23S ribosomal RNA
Rfam family: Bacterial large subunit ribosomal RNA
Source: RNAcentral